UAUAUAUAUAUAUAAAUAAACUGAUUUGUUACUUCUAGGCUGGACUACUGUAACUCCUUACUCGUAAAAUGUCCUAACAGCUCCCUAAAAAGCCUACAGCUUAUUCAAAAUGCUGCAGCCAGAGCUCUGACAGGACUUAGAAAGUCCUUAGAAAGAGAGAUCACAUUUCUCCUACAUUAGCUUCUCUGCACUGGCUGCCUGUAAAAUGUAGGAUAGAAUUUAAUUCUCCUACUCGCCUACAAAGCACUUAAUGAUUAAGCUCCUUAUCUUAAAGACCUUAUAGUUCCUUAUGCUUCAAGCGGAACACUUCGUUCUCAGAGCACUGGGCUACUUGUGGUUCCUAGAGUCUUUAUGUUUCCUUCUACCUCUUCUGUCCAACAUCCUCCCAUCAUUGUUCUAUGUUCAACUAACUAAUGUUCUAAAUCCAACCAUCCUGCCUGUGCUCUGUUGUUGCUGUGCUUUUCUCUCUCUAUUCCCUCACCCCAACUGGUCGAGGCAGAUGGUCGCCCACAUCCAGCCUGCUUCUGCUGGAGGGUUCUUCUUCGUUAGAGAGGGAGUUUUUCCCUCUCCACUGUUUCUAUCAAAUUGAAGGGCCUGCUGUAUGUGGGAUCUGUUGGGUUUAGUUGUGUAAGGUCUUAACCCUUAUUUUGUAAAGUGCCUUGAGAUAACUUUGUUGUGAUUUGGCGCUAUAUAAAUAAAUAAAAAUAAAUAAAUUGAAAAGAAAAUCAAAAUCCAGCUGGGGAGAUCGGGACAUACAGCAGAGGUUUAAUGCAAAGAUUACACAAUCCUCAAGUUGCUUCUGCCUUGUGAGUUGAUCUCUGUCAUGGACAAUAAAAAUGUAGAGAUAACACAAAGAAACACACACACCGGCACAGAGCUAAAAAGCAACACAGGCCAAGAAAGUUUUGAGCAGUAAAGCAGCUGAGUGUGAUGAGGUCAUAAAGAUGGGAGUCGAUAGCACAGGGAGAGGGGAAGUGUGAGGAGAAGCAGCAUCCAAGGCGGAUUAGAGAUAAGAGAGUCCACACGCUUGCUGUAUGUGGGAUCUGUUGGGUUUAGUUGUGUAAGGUCUUAACCCUUACUUUGUAAAGUGCCUUGAGAUAACUUUGUUGUGAUUUGGCAAUUUGUAAAUGAAAUUCAAUUGAAAAAGUGUGCUUUAACAUUGUGUGUGUUCAGGCUGUCAGGCUGUCUGCUCUCAGAGGAAGCUUGUGUCUCUCUGGCCUCAGCUCUGAGCUCCAACCCCUCCCAUCUGAGAGAGCUGGACCUGAGCUACAAUCAUCCAGGAGACUCAGGAGUGGAGCUGCUGUCUGCUGGAGUCAAGGAUCCACACUGGAGACUGGACACUCUCAGGGUGGAGCCUGGUGGAGUCCGAUGCUUGACACCAGGUCUGAGCAAGUAUUUCUGUCAACUCACCAUUGACACAAACACAGUGAACAGGAAACUACGACUGUCUGACAACAACAGGAAGAUGACAUAUGUGGAAGAGGAUCAGUCAUAUCCUGAUCAUCCAGACAGAUUUGACCAGUGUCCUCAGCUGC
Betta splendens (Siamese fighting fish) is the source of this 1535-nucleotide long non-coding RNA. RefSeq lists it as uncharacterized. The record is from RefSeq and is a predicted model, not a curated record. The transcript is spliced from 3 exons. Lineage: Eukaryota; Metazoa; Chordata; Actinopteri; Anabantiformes; Osphronemidae.